UACGGAGGAUGCAAGCGUUAUCCGGAUUUAUUGGGUUUAAAGGGUGCGCAGGUUGUUUGAUAAGUCAGUGGUGAAAGUCUGUCGCUUAACGGUAGGAUUGCCAUUGAUACUGUUGGACUUGAAUAUGGAUGAGGUAGGCGGAAUGUGUAGUGUAGCGGUGAAAUGCGUAGAUAUUACACAGAACACCGAUUGCGAAGGCAGCUUACUAAUCCAUCAUUGACGCUGAGGCACGAAAGCGUGGGGAUCAAACAGGA
This 254-nucleotide ribosomal RNA is filed under the name uncultured prokaryote. Its description in RNAcentral is "partial 16S ribosomal RNA". It matches the Rfam family "Bacterial small subunit ribosomal RNA", at positions 524 to 777 of the family's 1533-position model. The record is from RNAcentral.